This is a non-coding RNA of Pelobates cultripes (western spadefoot toad), 14507 nucleotides long. The record is from the annotation of a GenBank genome assembly. Lineage: Eukaryota; Metazoa; Chordata; Amphibia; Anura; Pelobatidae.
UGUGAGAGAGCUGGAAGGAAGCUGCUGGGAAGGAGCAAGGUAGGCUCAGUGAGCAGAGGCACCCAGGCAUUUCAUUUUAAUUGAGUGUGGAUAUUUGAGGGUGUAGUUGUGAGUGUGUUUGGUGUGUAUUUUUGUAGUCUGUGUGUGUGUGUGUGUGUCUGUCAGUGUGGAUCAAUGUGCGUGUGUGUGUCAGUAUGGAUCAAUGUGUGUGUCAGGGAGUGUGUAUGUAUUAGUGAUUGUGUGCCUGUGUUUGUAUGGGAUGCAGCAUUAGUUUGUGUGCCAGUGUCUGUUGAUGAGUAUAUGUCAGUAUGUAUGGGCAUCAGUGACUACACGCCAGUGUGUGUGCCAGUGAGUAUUUAUUAAUUAAAAAUCCAUGUGUCUGUUUUUUUUUUUAUUUAAAAUAAAUUGAAUUUAAAUUUUUUUUUAAAUAUAUUUAUAUAUAUAUAUAGUUUUAUAUAAUUUUGCUUUAUCUAUGUGAUUUGGUGAUUUGUGGGAGUAUUAUGCAUCUAUAUAUUUGCACAAAUGUAUAUUAAUAUAUGUGUAUUAUAUCAAAAUAUACAUAUGUUCAGCCCCCACGGUGAUCGGCUGCCUGAGAGCAGAGGCAGGCAUUGGGAUCACUGAGGACUGAGGCAGGCAGGCUGCUGAAGGAGGGAGGGGGCAGCCGGUUCAUGGAGAGCUGUGGGAGGAAGGCAGGCGGCUGACAGAGGGAAUUGGGCGGCCAGCUCAUUUAUUGCAGAGGGAGGGAGAGGGGUGGCUGGCACAUGGAGAGCUGUGGUAGAAAAGGUGGGCAGCUGACGGAGGGGAGCAGCCGGGUAAUGGGGAGCAGAGGGAGGCGGGCGGCUGACUUAGUGCCACAGCGAAGGAGCUGUAAUCUCCCUGCUCUGCUCCCUUGCACAGCUUGCAGUGAUUCAUGGAGCUGGGUUAUAAUGUCACUCUGGCCCCCGGCUCACUAAACAGUGCGUGAGAGGGAGCCGAGAAGAGAGAUGACAGCAGUGCUACUAGACCCCAGGGGAAGCAUAUUCUCUCCAACUCUCUAAAGGUAGGGAGGCUGGGUGGAUUUAAAUUUAAAUAAAAAAGUAAUUACUUGUGAGUGAGUGUGUCUGAGUGUGUGUGUCUGUCUGACUGUGUGUGUUUGUGAGUAUGUCUGUGACUGUGUGUCUGUCGGAGUGUCGGUCUGAGUGUCUGUCUCUAUGUCUGUCUGUGAGUGAGUCUGAGUCGGUCAGUAAGUGUGUGUGUGUUCCCUCCACUCACAUAGGAAAGGUUUUUUUUUUGUUUUUUUUCCCAUCCUGUGGCUGGCCCCACCUCCAUGGCUGAAAUCCUCAAUCUUGACGAUCUCAGCCAAUCCAAUGCUUCCUCAUAGCAAAGCAUUGGAAGACUAUUGUGCAUGCACGGCAAAAUGCCACUGCGUCAAUUUAACUUCUCAUAGAGAUGCACUGAAUCAAUGCAUCCAUAUAGGGAACAUUAACGUAGGUGCUGCACAGUGUGAAGCACUGACCCAGGAAGCACGUCUAGAGGCCGUCUGAGUGACUGUCGCUAGAGGUGUCACCAGGCAGCAAUGUAAACACUGCCUUUUGUCUGAAAAGUCAGUGUUUACAUUUAAAAGCGUUCAGGGUCAGGAUAUAGACUUCAGAGCAACUACAUUAAGCUGUAGUGGUUCUGGUGAUUGUAGUGUCCCCUUAAGAAUUGUAAUUUUGACGUUGAUUUCUCUGGCUCCUAAUUUUUCUAGCUGGCUGCUAGAUUCCAAACUAAUUUGUCAAACUGUGUGUGUGUGUGUGUGUGUAUAUAUAUAUAUAUAUGUGUAUAUAUAUAUAUAUACACACACACACGUAAUCUUAGAAAUUAUUAUGGUUAGAAUAUAUAUAUAUAUACACACACAAACAUCAGUAUGAUACACAUAUGUUAAUAGACAUUCAUACAUAAUACACAUUUGAAGAUUACACACGUAUAUAAAUGUAACAAGGUUUUAAAUUUUUCAAAGGGUUAUUCUAAAUUUCUAAUUUUAGAAAGUGAAAAUCUAAAUGGCGUUUUUUAGACCAAAAUAGCGGAUUUGAAAAAUCCAAACUUCGCCAUAGUGACAGCUUGACUAUUGUAGCCUAAUUUUUGGAAUUUAUUCACACAAAAUAUUUAAUUUAGUCGAUAACCCUGCCCUUCUCUCAGUCUUUCAUUCCCUGGUAUCAAACUAUAUCCAACGCAGAGUGCACUCAUAGGAUUGAGGACUAAACAAAAUAAGAUUAAUUUAAAUUAGACAUGCAGCAGCUAUCAGUCAAUGACUAUUCAAGUUUUGGGGAUGAAACGUUGGGUAAAUAAUUUUCAAUCCUUUGUGUUUUUCCACCUGUAUAUCUGUCACAGUUGGCACAAUUAAUGUUAGGGCUGGUGUAAAAAAAAUCCAGGGCUGCUUUUUAUUCCCAGUCCGGCCCUAUUGCAAACUAUGACAAUAUAAUCAAAUCUUCUCUUUAUUCCAUGUUAUAUCAGUGAGAAAGCAUAAAACAACAUUGGCAAAUGAACAGUGAAGGUGUUCUGAAUGCUUCUACAUGAUGUGCCCUUACGAGGUAUCUCAGCCAAUAUCAAGUGAGAAAAAGGGACUAGGGGUCCAUCACAUAAACCAUUAUAAAAGCCCACUGGAAAUUUUAUUUUGUGAAAAAGAAAUAUAUAUGAUCCCUAUCAUAUAGCUGUCAAAAAAAGUUAUAUAGUCUCAGUGUCAGACAAUGCCAGAAAAGGACACCAGUGGUGUUAGCCAUGAACAACAGUGUUACUGAAAAGUAAAGCGGAGUAAGAGCAUUGUUCUUUUAACGUUUCUAAGACAUGUCACAAUUAUAUGCUGUAACUAUUAAUGGAUAUGCAAACAUUUGAAAAUGCUAACAAUAUUAAAUUAAUAUAUAAAAAACAAUAUGGAGAAAAGAAAAAGAAAGUAAAGGGGUAUAGGCACACAACUCUUUGAACAUUUCCAACCUUUCCUUUCGGCCCAUAUGGAAUAGCAAGUUUAGCAGUUAUUAUCACAUUGGUUGAGCAAGAGCUGAGCACUUAAGCUCCGUCUUGCCAAUGAGCCAGUCCACGUUCCCUGACCCUCCAUUUUUUUCUCAUGUAAGUCAAUACCAAAUUUCUUUAUCCAAGUUGAUGGACUCUAUAAUACUACAUAAUAAAAUAUGGUUCCUUGAGCAAAAAUGUAUGCAAAAACGUCUCAUCCUCUAUCUUAACCUUUUAGAUCUUUGUAUAAAAAAUACUGCUCAGCUAUUUCUUCCAAAACACAAUCUGUUCACUGUAUUAGAAAUAUCUCUCCCAGAUUGCUAUUAAGUACUGGAGAGGAUAGUUGAUCAUUUGAUUCCUAAUCUCUCUAAAUGUCCCCUCUCAUCUUCUUAUCUCUCACCUGAGAUAACGCAAAUAUGCUUUUAAUCUCUUGAACUGCAAAAUGUGCUUUGUGCUUUUUAUAAAAACGGUACCACCAGUAUAUGGCAAUAUUUUAUUUCACAUCACCUGUAUACCUUAAAGCAAAACAUUGAUCUGUGUUCAGAUGAAAGUUUAACUUUUUUCCCGCCUACUAUUUAGAUAUAGCAUUUGAUCCUCAAAUAGCGAAAAUAUUACCUACAUGAAAAACAUGUGUGCAAUAAGACUGACAUUACACAAACAGUAUGUACAAACAGUAUGUACAAAAGGAGAGAACAACCUAAAUGUAAUGUAACAUAUAUCAAAUAACAACUGUAAUAUCAACAACAGCAGUUCAAUUGUUUUUAAGUGUUCUUCACUCAAUGUUUUCAGAGUAUGGAAAAGCUGGGAAGAGAUUAAACUGAAUAAAAUACAAAUACUGAAUAACCAUAUCAGGACUGUGUACUUGAGAAAGCAUCCAUUACCUGAGCUCGUAUACUUAUGACUUUCUGUGAUGAUUGUAGCUAAAUUGCUUGCUGACCCACAACAUGAAUAACCCAACCGUCCCAAGAGGCACUCACUCAUUCCACUUAAAACCCUUCCCAUACCCCAAUUAGAGACAGACUAUAUUACAAUUUUAUUAAAUGUUUAAUAUGCCAGCAACUCAUAACCUAAAACAAUUAUACAAUUCUUAUAUCACUUGAACCAAAGUCCGCAGAGCUUGCAUUGAACCCUCAGCCUCAUAGCAGGCCACGGCUCCCCAGGUCCGUACAGGCAAACAUUCUUUUUCACUAAAUGUUCAGUUAGCAAGGGGCACCACCACUGUGAGAAAACAGAAAAAAACACAACAAACAAGGACAAGAACACUACAAAAAGAAAACAGCUGAAAUCCAACAAACAUCUUUUUUGAGGGCUCGUAGGAGAAAAAAAUUAGCUCAGCCUACCUCAAUCUUUCUUCUGCUGAGUAGUAAGUCCUGCCAGUGACCCCUAUUUAUUUGCUUGCCACCACUUUGCAACACUGUAGUACUAUUUGCCCUCACCAGCCAAUUUCUUAUUUCCAGCAGCAUGUAUGGCAGUCAUGCUCACCCCUCCAAAAAGGUCCAGGGUGUGGGAGUUGGAGUGUAUUUUCUGACAUCAGCUCUCACACAUUUUUUUUUUAUUUUUUUUUUACAUUUAUCCAAGAUCUGUUGCCAGAAUUUGAAGGUAUUAGAUGUUGUAUUACUGUUACACCAUAUUAGUUUUAAUAGUUUUCUAGCUUUGCUUGAAUAGAUGGUUGCACAGUUCCAGAUAUUCGUUGAAGAGUUAUAGAAGCUUUCAUUGAUUUGGUUUUCAGAAGUGGACUUCUUGCAUUACUUCCCAGUAUAGCAUUCUAAGUCACCAAAUAUAAAACCCAAUUAUUGUUAUUUUUUUAUUUUAACUCCUGUUCACCUCCUCCAAGAAGGUGCCGAGUGCAUAGGCGUCUACCUGAGGCCUCAUGGGACAGCGAAUCAGCAAAAAACGAAAGUGAUGCAGAGGUAAGUAAAUUCUAGACUUAUCUCUGCUGCAUUAUUCACCCCAGUAAGUAUUGAAAUAGCAGAAUGAAGGAAUGAGUAACUGUAAUUUCUUUAAAAGUGUCUUUUCUGCUUUAGAAGCAAAAAAACAUUUUUGAAACAUUCUCUCUCUCACUCCUUUUUUAUUCAUUUCCUGCAGAAGGGUGAAAGCCUGGGGUAUUGUGACUUGGGGAUUUCUCCCCUCAUCUGCCAUAAUUUCUCCCUCGUCAUUCUUUCAAGAACAAUAUGUGGGACUGGAUAGACAUGCUAUACCAAAUUUAUUUAUUCUGAAUAUGAUGGAGUAGCGCUGAAGAAUUGUAGAUUAUGCUAACGUAGUGUACCUAUAAUCUUAAUUUUAAUAAUGACAACAAAAAACGCCACAAUAUAUAUAUGUGUAGAAAUCAGUCUGUGUAAGUAAGACACACUGUUCUUGUUCUAAAUUACAUUUUAGUUGCACAAAUUGUUACAAGUAUGUCACCUAAAAUUUCUCAAAACUGCCCCACCCCUAAAUUUGUCUAUUUGAAAUGUUGGGAGGUAAGAAUAAUUUCUCACUUUCAUUGUAUCUCCAACAGGGUCCUGUUAUUUACCAGUAUCCGAGUGGCCACUCCUUGAAAUUCUUCAAGGCACAUUUACUAUAAUUCCACCACAUGUACUGAACCUCCUUUGUUAUGUUUCUUACUUCCAAAUUCCCACUCCAUGUCUCUUACAUAUUCACGAAUAGUUACCAAAGUGAGAAUUCUAAGUGAAUAACCCUGAUUGUGUCAUGACAGCAUAACCAACCAUUGCAGAUUUACGUUCAUAAAUGCCGCUUUAAUAUACUAAUUAUAUAAAAUACACUAUCUGCAUGCCAAAUGUCGCAUUACACAGUAACCUGUUACAGCCAAUCAGACUGUGUUCUGUAUUAGAGCUGGUUUAAUGUGACGCUCUGUGUAAUAUGUGCUCAGUAUGGGAGCUGUCUGAUCUAAUAAGGUCAUUCCAUGGAAGCCCUGGCUAGACAGUAAUAAUCUAGAUGAUGUAACAUAUACAAACUAAGCAGUGUAAAUGAAUCAUUUUGAUAAAAUGAUGAGCAGAGAACAAAUUACUCUGACCUGUGCCUUGGCUUAUCAUGUGAUAAAAUCAAAAUAUGUUGCCUCCUCGUGAUCCAUGCUGAGACAGAACAUGAAAGAAAUAAUUCCCUUGAUGCAUAGUGACAGUAUUUGUUCUCUUCUUUAACCCCUUAAGGACACAUGACGUGUGACAUGUCAUGAUUCCCUUUUAUUCCAGAAGUUUGGUCCUUAAGGGGUUAAAAAGGACAGGCUCUCCUAGUGGGCUAUGGUUUUUGGAGACUAGGUGCUGGCUGUGCAUUGUGCGAAUUUUAAUUCAUUAUCUUACUUUCAUGGAAGAGUUAUACGUUGACCUCUUAAGGUAAAAUGAUUUACAAUAAAUACCAAACCACUUAAAAAUAUUAUCAAGAUUAUAACAUUUUAAAAUACAGUUAUAAAAAUGAAUCGCAAACAAAAAAGAAUUUAUCCUGUAACGAAAGCUUUUGUGUUUUGUACUAUUAUACAUCAGUGUAUGAAAAGAGUUAUAGAAAAUUCAACUGUCAAGUGUGUUUCAUCUAUCUGAAAUUAUUACUGAUCUGUAAUAUGUAAAUUGAGCUAUUAUCACUUUGCUUUUACACUUUUGUGCCCAAAAACACAGUAAAUAGACACACAGAAGACAAGACUUGAUUUAGGUCAUCCCAGGUAUCCCAAAGUUUGUGCAUGCAAAUUAUAGAUCAGUACUUACCGGUAAACAGUAUAGAAAGAAAUAGAUACAUCUUUAGAAUGGUAAGAAUUAACACAUAGAGCAUGCAUAUGCAUAAACUUUCAAAAAACAUAGUAAACAGUGAAACAUGUUAAAGGAAGCCAGAGUCACAAAUCUGAUUAGCAAAGCUGAUUUCAAGGGAAACCAGAGAAGAGAAAAUUCAUGGUCAAAGCCAUGUCAAAAUCAACACAUUUUUGGAUCAAACAGUGGAAGGGGUUUUAAAUACUAUUUACAAUAUUGUCAUUUCUGGAUAAAGCCAUGUAUGCAUGGUCGAGAACCACUAUAUUAGGGCAUACUUAAACCAGAAUUAUUAAAGUGAAAUAGGUAUUGCUAUUAUGCAGCAUUUUGUAUAUAUGUAGAUUGUACUGUAUGUUUUCACACUAAUCUCUGUAUGUAUGAUGUAUACCAAUUAGUCCUCACAGCAGCUACACAAUUAAUGUACGCCAGUUUAAGUAACAUCUCUUCCUAGUCAAAGUGGAUUCUGAUGGAGGAGAAGAAGAGCGCAGGAAAAAAAAAGCAUGUUUUGUAAUUAUAUUUAUAUAUUGUUCUGGCUUUAUUAAUAAACGUGGUUGAUAAAUACACUCUAAACCAGGGGUAGGCAACCUAUGGCACAUGUGCCAUGCACGGCACUCGAUGUGCCUUUGCACAGCACUCAAGCCUGCUAGAGCCAAACAGGCUUUGGCCUAUCAGGAGUACCAGUGAAACUUCAGAUAUCUGCUAAUACGAAAAGGUGGUGAAGGACAAUCCUCAAUUUAUGCAUUGCAGCACGUAGAGGAAGUGAUCUCAGAUCACUUCCUCUCAGCACUUGUGAAUGGGAAUCCACACUGUAGUAGAGCAGCCCGCAGCUGCUCUUGCAGCUCCUGUCCUUGACCGGUACCUGGUCAGCCUGGUCCCCACUGGAACCCAGGGAAGCCACCCACGCUGCUAGAUAUACACAAAAAUGCAGAAUAACCCUCCCCUCAUACAAAUAAUAUGAACAGCCCACAAACAAACAUACACACAAUCUCCACAAACUCAACACCACUGACAAUCCACAUACAUAACCCCACAUGCAGCCUCUAACAUGCAAUACCCCAAACAGCCCCCACACAUACACACACUACCAGAUACACAAUGUGACAAGUCCAUCCACACACACAAUUCCACAAGCAGCCCCCAUACACAGCCCACAUUCAUAGGUACUCAAUACCACAAACUGCUCAAGAACAUAUACAAUAUAAUAGCUCAUAUACGCACAAAUACAACGAUACAAAGCAACUGCAGUAUAAAUAACACAAGCAGCAUACGGCAACAUACACACCUCAAUUUUAAAAAAAUAGGACCGGCACGCUACGGGACGUCACAAUCCUAUUUCGGCACAGUGCUGCUAAAAGGUUGCCUACCCCUGCUCUACACUAUAGUACAGUGUUACACUAUAGUACAAUUAUUCAAGCUAUGAGAAAUAGUAAUGUAAUGACAGCAAACAGCCAUGAGAGGGAGCAAUGCAUUCCACAAACACAUAUGCUGCAAUGCAAAGAUUAAAAAAACAAAAACCGCAUGAAAUGGUUCACAGGCUUGCUGGAUGUGUGAUACUGUCGAUAGGUGCUGCAGAGGAGCGUUACAGAAUAUUAUACGCGCGCUUUCUUUCGACCAGAUCAUGAACAAAAUGUUCACAUCUUUCAUCACCUGUUCUGUGGAUGAAAACCCACUGACAACAAAUGGUGCAUUUUGUAAUCUGAGCAUCGAAAUAGUAACAAGCUACUGGCCCAUCUAGUCUGCCUUUAGGAAAUAAAUAUGUUUAUGGAUAUUUAGGUGGGCUAAAUUAGAAAAUCUAAAACUUAUCAAAGAGAGAAAUUCAAAUAACAAAGUAUUUUAAGGAAAUUAAUGCCUAUAAUAUGAAUAUGAGUCCAUCGUACAUUUGUCUGAUAUUUUUGAAUUGGUAACUGAGCAUCAGAAUAAGGUGUGUAUUUUAAAUAUAUUAUUUUAUGCAGUGUAUAAAAUGGAAGGAGUGGUGGCUCUAGACCAUGGCCCCCAAAAGGUAGGUCCCCAGAUGUUGUAGAACUACAACUCCCAUGAUACUUUGCAUGCCUUUAGAAUGCUUUUAUAAUGACAAAGCAUCGUGGAAGCUGUAGUUUUAAAAUAUCUGGUGAUCUACCUUUUGGGUGCCCCUGAUCUAGAUUCUUAAAUCAGUAUUACAAAAACUGUAUAAAAAUAUGUAAUUAUCUGAUACAACAUAGAUAUUGCUGCAAUAAUAGCUUGCCCAAUAAAGAAAAUGUAAUCAUACUUAAUCAUACCAUAAUUUUCUUUUCCUGGCUAAUCCACUUGACUAUUUAGGACAGGAAAUAAAAGCUAUGAAUACACCUCCUACUAGAUAGUAUAUAAAUACUUCACAAUCCUAAAAAAUGAAUAAGGGAGGAAUACCAUGCUGCUAUGGUUACAUCCAGGAAAAGAAAACUAUGGUAUGUAUGGCUAUGUAUUUAUUCCUGGUUUACCGAUGUAUCCAACCAACACUCACUCACUCACUCCUGUACAAGAUUAUAGCCCUCACUUAACGAAGCUUGUUUAUGUGCUGAACACCACAAGUGAAAAAUCAAUGUCACAUAAUUAUUAAGAACAAUGGAUGAAGUAGAAUUACCAUUAGGUGUCUGAAGAUUAUAUUGGAUACUAGUAAUGGCCUGAAAAAAUAAUAUAUUCCACUCUCUGAAGGAGGUAACGUUAAUGUGCUGAAAGACACACCAAUAUGGACUUACAGCCAGGCUUGAAUUGUAUACGUGCUGACUCAGACAAGUACAGAAGUGUCCAGAACCAAGGAUAUUUCAUUCUCUGAUGGAAGGCCUGUGUAUGUGCUAAAAUACACCAGUGCUGGAAAUCACUGCCACAUAUCUUCUUAUAAACAAGGCCCAGUGUGGACUUGGUAUCGGCCUUCUAGAUAUGUACUGGACUGUAGCAUACAGUCAGUAGUCCGUACAGCCAUCAACAGAACUCUUUCCUAGAAUGCCAACACAAGACUUAUAAAACUUACCUAGAUGUUCCCCAAUAAACCUGCUAAAUGUGACCCAUUGGUAAUAAGGAAAGCACAUACUAUGUAACAGGAGUAACUGAAAUAACAGUAAACCCCCUUAACUAUAAAAGCUGGUAACUCAGCACAUUAACAUAUCUCUUUCACAAAGAUAAGUAAUGCAUCUCUCACAUAAAUGCUAUAAUAGGUAUAUUAAAAUAUAAUGCAACUCAACAAAAAUAGAACAAAAAACCCCAAAAACAUGAAGCAGAUUAUUUUUGUUUUCAUGUGAAAAACAACAAGGAUGGAAGAAACAGGAGAAAAAUGCGUUGUCUCUUCAAUAAGCAGUCAGUUUAGUGAAUAGAAAGGAGAGGAUGCAAAUGAAGAUAUAGAUCUCCAAGAACGUCAGAGGUUAUAACGUACCAAUAAUUAAAGCUUUGAAAGUAAUUUGCUGGACAUAAAAAUUCAAAGUAACUCUGGUUAAAGGUAUACAAUAGAACUUGCACAAUAGUCAUGAACAACCAGUGAUAUCAAAUCACUUGAACAACAUUCCAUAGGCAAGUAUCCAGAAAUUAAUAUAUAGAGUAUGGUGCAUUUAUCGCUGAAGCCAGAGAGAAGCAUUGUAACUAACUUGGCAGGUAAUGUCAAGUCAUAAUCCAGAGAGCAGCAUAGUCAAAUACAGAUCAGAUGCCAGAGAACAGUGUGGUGACAUAAAGACCUGGCUCAGAAGAGCGUGGUCAGGUACACAUCCGAUUCAGAAGCCAGAUAAGGAAGACGAGCUACAGAAGGAAUUCCAAGGGAUCAUCAGUUGUGAAUAGCCGGGUAGAAAUCGGUGUAAUAGUCCAAGUAAUUUCUGAACCUUGAACAGACACUAAUACCAAGAAGAAGAACUCACCUCCAGAGCAAAAUAAAAAAUAAAACAUGAUAAAUUUAGAUGCAUCUUUUCCGAAAUAGAGGCAACUAAAUGAAGCUAAGAAACCCGCACACAUAAUCGGACACUCCUGUCCUAAUGACAUCUUUAUUGCCACACCUGCCCCUGCUAAAAAGCCUCCAUUGUCCUAAAUGAACCAACAUGAAAAUAUAGCUGACCUGAAGAAUUUCUUUAGUUUGUUUUUUUACCUAAAAUUUGAAAUUAGUUUUGAAAUGCUCACAAACUUUAAUGAGCAACUUUGUCGGUGUGCGAGUCAAUCAUAAUUACAUGUAAAGGCGGGGUAUAUAGAUUGAAAUUCCAUCCUUUCUUUUUUAAAACAAGUAGACCGUUUCUCUUUAAUUUACUCCUUCUGUUAAUAUAUUUUAGCCUCAUACUAACUGAUCUCAAAUGAUAUAAAUUAGUCUGAUUAUGCUUGAUUAGACUUUUGAUUCAUAAUACUCUGUUUUAAUUUGGGAAUUGCUAAUUUUUCUUUAUAAUUUAAAGUUGAUCAUAUCAUGGAAAUGUGUCUAGUGAUAAAUACUUGAUCAUUUAUUUUCUACCUUAUUUAUAUUCAUUAUAAAAAAUUAGAACACCUCUCACAUAAAUGUUUAAAGGUUAAACAGUUUCAGUUUGUUUUAAUGUGCAAAGUUAAGUUAUAAAAUCAAAUAAGCAAUCUGAAUUUGUGAUUGAAAUAUGAUUAGGUUUGCUUUAAUGAAUAACUGAAAGAGGAUGUGAUUUACAUAUCUAGGUGAAAGACUGACUCUGAACUACAGUAUUAAUGCAUUAAUAUACUGCUAUUAUUGUGCUAUUGUGAUUGUAAUUUACAUUUUUUAUAUUAUUAUUAUUUUUAGCAUUUAGACCAAAAUAUGAUCCAAAAACAAGGCAAAAAAAAUAUUUGAAGUGAGGGACAAUUAUGACACAAAAACUGAAAUCAAAAUUUUCCUUGGAUCAACAACCUAUUCACAUAUAUAAUAUUCAUAUUGGUGAAUAUUCUUCUUUUCCAAUAAAAUGUUAAGAAUUUAGAAAAAAAUAUAUACAGAAUCUGAGAAGAUGACCUCUUUGGGUAGACAAUUCCACAUCUUUGUUAUUCUUACUGUAAAUAACCCUUUCUUUUGCUGUGAGCGAAAACACCUUUCUUCCAGUCUGAAUAUUUGACAACUUGUCUCUUGUAUAUUCCUGCUAACGAACAGGUUUGCUCAGUGGUUCCCCAACCUCCUCAAGGCAUCCAUUCCAGUACAGGAUUUAGGGAUUACCCAGUUGUGUCUAUGGUGUUUUUAGAAAUAAAAAAACACCUUAGACACCUCUAACACCUUAGACACAAUUGGAUAAUCCUUAAAUUCUGGACUGGUAGGUGUGCCUUGGACUGGGUUGGGAACCACUGGGUUAGCACAUUGUACUGAGCUGUAUGUAUUUGUAAAUUGCUAUGAUAUCUCUCUGAGAUGCCUUUUUUUUCCCUUAAAGAAAACAAUGCAGUUUCUCUAGUCAUUCUUCAUAACGGAUGUUUUCCAUCCCCCUAAUUGAUUUUGUAGCUUGUCUCUGCACUUUUUCUACUUCUGCAAUAUCCUUCUUAAAAACUGAUGACCAACAUUAAAAUAUAUAUAACAUACAAAAUACAGAAUCCACUCGCUCAUUCACUAAACAGCAAUUUCAAGUCUCCCAGAAUGCAAUGUUUUUAUUUAAAAACACCUAAUCUAGGCAAAAAAUAAUGGGGGUUUAGUUACAGUAUAUGCUUAUACAUUGCAUAAACCUGCCACAACGUCAAUGUACCCCAUUCUUGGUAGGUCCUACUCUAGCAGCCUAAUGUCUUAAAUAUAUAUAUAAGCUCUAUAUAUGUGGGCUCCCUCCUUUUAUGAAAGUAUUAUAGUUUUUGCUAUAUUCCACUAAUGUACUAGCCUCUGCUGCCAGUAUUAGUUAUAAGUGAUGUUAUUACGUUAUAUGACUACCUACUAUACCAGGGUGUUUUUUUUCUGAAUGCUCUCUCUGCCCAUCUGAUCCUAUCUCCUUCAACUGUCUCUCCUAUUUGCCAUUUUUAACUCUACAGAGAUACAUUUACAUUGGAUGUGCAAUGGUGGUAUAUGUGUAUAAUAUAUAUGUGUUCUUAAUAAAUUUAUAAUUUAUAGUUUAUAAUAUGUGGAAUGUGCUUUUCCUCCUUCUGGGCAUUCAGAAAACAUUGAAUAUUUUAAAAGAGACCCUAGUCACAGCAAUACGGAUCUUAAAAAGGUAUUGUCUUAAUCCCAAUCAGCUGAUUUCAGUGGGAUUAACCACAGGAUUGCAUAAAUAGUCCUAAGUGUACGACCUUCCAUUUUUAAGUACUAGAGCUCAAAUUAUGUUGAUGACUUGCACUGACAGAGGUGAUUUUAAUUUAGUGGAAAAAUAGUAUCUUAAUCAUUAUCAUUCAAAUAUUCACAGUAGAGGUUGAAAAGAGUUUGUGAAAUCCUAGGCCUAGGCUAAUCACUUCAACACUUUAGAGUUGGAAAUAACAAACCUGGUGUCAAUUAAUGAAACAAGAUUGGAGGUGUGGGUUAGAGCUAUGUUGACUUAUAAAAAACACUCAAACAUUUAGAAUUUACCAUUCACAAAAAGCAUCUGUUGAUGUGAACCAUGCCUCACAAAAAAAGAGCUCCCAGCAGAACUGUGCGUUGCAUAAAGCUGGAACGGGUUAAACAGUUAAAGGACCACUAUAGGCACCCAGAACACUUCAGCUUAAUGAAGUGGUCUGGGUGCCAGGUCCAGCUAAGUUUAACCCUUUCUUCUAUAAACAUAGCAGUUUCAGAGAAACUGCUAUGUUUAUAAUAGGGUUAAUAAUAGGGUUAAUCCAGCCUAUAGUUGCUGUCUCAUUGACAGCCACUAGAGGCGCUUGCGUGCUUCUCACUGUGAUUUUCACAGUGAGAGCAUGCCAGCGUCCAUAGGAAAGCAUUGAGAAUGCUUUCCUAUGGACUGGCUGAAUGCGCGCGCAGCUCCUGCCACGCAUUCACAUUCAGCCGAUGACAGCGAUAUGGAGGAGAGUUCCCCGCCCGGUGCUGGACAAGGAGAUAAAUUUAACCCCUUCCAUCCCCUAGAGCCUGGCGGGCACCCUCAGGGCACAAUAGUGCCAGGAAAACAAGUAUGUUUUCCUGGCACUAGAGUGGUCCUUUAAAUCAAAGAGCCUAGAUAUUAAUUUCUCUGCUGUUAGACAAACUGUCUAUAAAUGGAGAUGAUUUAGUACUGUAGCUACUCUCCUUAGAUGUGGCCGUCCAGCCCAGAUGACUCAAAGGGCACACAUCGCACAAUGCUAAAUGUCAUAAAAAAGAACCCCAGAUAGCUAAAGACUUGAAGAAAUCAUUAAACUAGUUAACAUCUUUGUUUACAGGAAACAUCGAACAAGCAUGGUGUCCAUAGCAGGACACCAAGAAGAAAGCUGCUGCUUUAAAAAGAAAAAGAACCCGCAGCAAUCCAGAACCUAAAUGUUGCCAAACAGGUGAUCCCACAGUACUGGAAAAGUCAAGAGACUCCCCCAGUCACUACUUGGUUCACUCAGAUGGAAGAAUUCCGGGCAAUGGAGGACCUUACGAUGAGCAAUGUUUGCCCUAAACAAACAUACCUGACAAUAUGGUUGCACUGGCUCCUGAUGACAGCAAAACCAAACUUUGCAGACCGGCUUUGAUACAAACCAUAAUAGACAGAUAUGACUAUAAUUCUAUUUUAUUUUUAUUUUUUUUAUGCUCAUUUUCCUCCUCUUCCCUCCCACUCCCCUGAUUAUAUUCAGAUGAACAUGGAAUCUGGUUAUUGCGACUACCUACUGACUGCUAUAUACCUAUUAAUGCAAAGGCAGACUUGUGAGUCCUGCCAAAGUUACCAAAUUGGUACAGAGCCUGCGUGGUCAAACUUUAUCUUUAUAUCACGUAUUGUAUCUGUUCCCAUGUGUUUGCUACACGAGACCUGCGAGUCUCAUUAUUUACUACUCAAG